This 426-nucleotide ribosomal RNA is filed under the name uncultured prokaryote. RNAcentral describes it as "bacterial SSU rRNA". It matches the Rfam family "Bacterial small subunit ribosomal RNA", at positions 355 to 774 of the family's 1533-position model. The record is from RNAcentral.
UGAGGAAUUUUGCGCAAUGGGGGCAACCCUGACGCAGCAACGCCGCGUGAGUGAUGAAGGCCUUCGGGUCGUAAAGCUCUGUCGAGUGGGAAGAAACCGCUCAGUUUAAUAAACUGAGUCUUGACGGUACCACUAAAGGAAGCACCGGCUAACUCCGUGCCAGCAGCCGCGGUAAUACGGGGGGUGCAAGCGUUAUUCGGAAUUAUUGGGCGUAAAGGGUGCGUAGGCGGUUUUGUAAGUCAGAUGUGAAAUCCCGGGGCUUAACUUCGGAACUGCAUUUGAUACUGCAAGACUUGAGUAUGGGAGAGGGAAGCGGAAUUCCUGGUGUAGAGGUGAAAUUCGUAGAUAUCAGGAGGAACACCUGUGGCGAAGGCGGCUUCCUGGACCAAUACUGACGCUGAGGCACGAAGGCGUGGGGAGCAAACA